RNAcentral lists this ribosomal RNA (456 nucleotides) under uncultured bacterium. Its description in RNAcentral is "bacterial SSU rRNA". It matches the Rfam family "Bacterial small subunit ribosomal RNA", at positions 29 to 524 of the family's 1533-position model. The record is from RNAcentral.
AGCGAACGCUGGCGGCAUGCUUAACGCAUGCAAGUCGCACGGGCGGGGGCAACUCCGUCAGUGGCGGACGGGUGAGUAACGCGUAGGUAUCUAUCCUUGGGUGGGGGAUAACGGUUGGAAACGACUGCUAAUACCGCAUGACAACUGAGGUUUAAAGGCGCGAGUCGCCUGAGGAGGAGCCUGCGUACGAUUAGCUAGUUGGUGGGGUAAAGGCCUACCAAGGCGACGAUCGUUAGCUGGUCUGAGAGGAUGAUCAGCCACAUUGGGACUGAGACACGGCCCAAACUCCUACGGGAGGCAGCAGUGGGGAAUAUUGGACAAUGGGCGAAAGCCUGAUCCAGCAAUGCCGCGUGUGUGAAGAAGGUCUUCGGAUUGUAAAGCACUUUCGACGGGGACGAUGAUGACGGUACCCGUAGAAGAAGCCCCGGCUAACUUCGUGCCAGCAGCCGCAGUAAU